RNAcentral lists this ribosomal RNA (497 nucleotides) under uncultured bacterium. RNAcentral describes it as "partial 16S ribosomal RNA". It matches the Rfam family "Bacterial small subunit ribosomal RNA", at positions 28 to 507 of the family's 1533-position model. The record is from RNAcentral.
GAUGAACGCUGACGGCGUGCCUAAUACAUGCAAGUCGAGCGAACGGACGAGAAGCUUGCUUCUCUGAUGUUAGCGGCGGACGGGUGAGUAACACGUGGAUAACCUACCUAUAAGACUGGGAUAACUUCGGGAAACCGGAGCUAAUACCGGAUAAUAUUUUGAACCGCAUGGUUCAAAAGUGAAAGACGGUCUUGCUGUCACUUAUAGAUGGAUCCGCGCUGCAUUAGCUAGUUGGUAAGGUAACGGCUUACCAAGGCAACGAUGCAUAGCCGACCUGAGAGGGUGAUCGGCCACACUGGAACUGAGACACGGUCCAGACUCCUACGGGAGGCAGCAGUAGGGAAUCUUCCGCAAUGGGCGAAGGCCUGACGGAGCAACGCCGCGUGAGUGAUGAAGGUCUUCGGAUCGUAAAACUCUGUUAUUAGGGAAGAACAUAUGUGUAAGUAACUGUGCACAUCUUGACGGUACCUAAUCAGAAAGCCACGGCUAACUACGUG